UAAGGCCUUUCGGGGUACACGAGCGGCGAACGGGUGAGUAACACGUGGGUGAUCUGCCCUGCACUUCGGGAUAAGCCUGGGAAACUGGGUCUAAUACCGGAUAUGACCUCAGGUUGCAUGGCUUGGGGUGGAAAGAUUUAUCGGUGCAGGAUGGGCCCGCGGCCUAUCAGCUUGUUGGUGGGGUAAUGGCCUACCAAGGCGACGACGGGUAGCCGACCUGAGAGGGUGACCGGCCACACUGGGACUGAGACACGGCCCAGACUCCUACGGGAGGCAGCAGUGGGGAAUAUUGCACAAUGGGCGAAAGCCUGAUGCAGCGACGCCGCGUGAGGGAUGACGGCCUUCGGGUUGUAAACCUCUUUCAGCAGGGACGAAGCGCAAGUGACGGUACCUGCAGAAGAAGCACCGGCUAACUACGUGCCAGCAGCCGCGGUAAUACGUAGGGUGCAAGCGUUGUCCGGAAUUACUGGGCGUAAAGAGUUCGUAGGCGGUUUGUCGCGUCGUUUGUGAAAACCAGCAGCUCAACUGCUGGCUUGCAGGCGAUACGGGCAGACUUGAGUACUGCAGGGGAGACUGGAAUUCCUGGUGUAGCGGUGAAAUGCGCAGAUAUCAGGAGGAACACCGGUGGCGAAGGCGGGUCUCUGGGCAGUAACUGACGCUGAGGAACG
This 668-nucleotide ribosomal RNA is filed under the name Rhodococcus erythropolis. Its description in RNAcentral is "bacterial SSU rRNA". It matches the Rfam family "Bacterial small subunit ribosomal RNA", at positions 70 to 755 of the family's 1533-position model. The record is from RNAcentral. Lineage: Bacteria; Bacillati; Actinomycetota; Actinomycetes; Mycobacteriales; Nocardiaceae.